AAAGGAAUAGACGGGGGCCCGCACAAGCGGUGGAGCAUGUGGUUUAAUUCGAAGCAACGCGAAGAACCUUACCAGGUCUUGACAUCUUCUGACAAUUCCAGAGAUGGAACGUUCCCUUCGGGGACAGAAUGACAGGUGGUGCAUGGUUGUCGUCAGCUCGUGUCGUGAGAUGUUGGGUUAAGUCCCGCAACGAGCGCAACCCUUAUUGUCAGUUGCCAUCAUUAAGUUGGGCACUCUGGCGAGACUGCCGGUGACAAACCGGAGGAAGGUGGGGAUGACGUCAAAUCAUCAUGCCCCUUAUGACCUGGGCUACACACGUGCUACAAUGGACGGUACAACGAGUCGCUAACUCGCGAGGGCAAGCUAAUCUCUUAAAGCCGUUCUCAGUUCGGAUUGCAGGCUGCAACUCGCCUGCAUGAAGUCGGAAUCGCUAGUAAUCGCGAAUCAGCAUGUCGCGGUGAAUACGUUCCCGGGCCUUGUACACACCGCCCGU
RNAcentral lists this ribosomal RNA (493 nucleotides) under uncultured bacterium. RNAcentral describes it as "bacterial SSU rRNA". It matches the Rfam family "Bacterial small subunit ribosomal RNA", at positions 903 to 1397 of the family's 1533-position model. The record is from RNAcentral.